GAGUUUGAUCCUGGCUCAGAUUGAACGCUGGCGGCAUGCUUUACACAUGCAAGUCGAACGGCAGCGCGGGCUUCGGCCUGGCGGCGAGUGGCGAACGGGUGAGUAAUACAUCGGAACAUGCCCACUUGUGGGGGAUAGCUCGGCGAAAGCCGGAUUAAUACCGCAUGAGAUCUACGGAUGAAAGCAGGGGACCUUCGGGCCUUGCGCGAGUGGAGUGGCCGAUGGCAGAUUAGGUAGUUGGUGGGGUAAAGGCCUACCAAGCCUGCGAUCUGUAGCUGGUCUGAGAGGACGACCAGCCACACUGGGACUGAGACACGGCCCAGACUCCUACGGGAGGCAGCAGUGGGGAAUUUUGGACAAUGGGCGCAAGCCUGAUCCAGCAAUGCCGCGUGCAGGACGAAGGCCCUCGGGUUGUAAACUGCUUUUGUACAGAACGAAAAGAGCUGGGUUAAUAACCCU
Molecule: ribosomal RNA, 459 nt
Filed under: Allofranklinella schreckenbergeri
Lineage: Bacteria; Pseudomonadati; Pseudomonadota; Betaproteobacteria; Burkholderiales; Comamonadaceae
Description: bacterial SSU rRNA
Rfam family: Bacterial small subunit ribosomal RNA
Source: RNAcentral